RNAcentral lists this ribosomal RNA (405 nucleotides) under uncultured Rhodocyclaceae bacterium. RNAcentral describes it as "bacterial SSU rRNA". It matches the Rfam family "Bacterial small subunit ribosomal RNA", at positions 981 to 1382 of the family's 1533-position model. Lineage: Bacteria; Pseudomonadati; Pseudomonadota; Betaproteobacteria; Rhodocyclales; Rhodocyclaceae. The record is from RNAcentral.
UUGACAUGUCCGGAAUCCCGAAGAGAUUUGGGAGUGCUCGCAAGAGAACCGGAACACAGGGUGCUGCAUGGCUGUCGUCAGCUCGUGUCGUGAGAUGUUGGGUUAAGUCCCGGCAACGAGCGCAACCCUUGUCAUUAGUUGCCAUCAUUUGGUUGGGCACUCUAAUGAGACUGCCGGUGACAAACCGGAGGAAGGUGGGGAUGACGUCAAGUCCUCAUGGCCCUUAUGGGUAGGGCUUCACACGUCAUACAAUGGUCGGUACAGAGGGUUGCCAACCCGCGAGGGGGGAGCUAAUCCCACAAAGCCGAUCGUAGUCCGGAUCGCAGUCUGCAACUCGACUGCGUGAAGUCGGAAUCGCUGGUAAUCGUGGAUCAGCAUGUCACGGUGAAUACGUUCCCGGGUCUU